RNAcentral lists this ribosomal RNA (254 nucleotides) under uncultured bacterium. Its description in RNAcentral is "partial 16S ribosomal RNA". It matches the Rfam family "Bacterial small subunit ribosomal RNA", at positions 524 to 776 of the family's 1533-position model. The record is from RNAcentral.
UACGUAGGCAGCAAGCGUUGUUCGGAGUUACUGGGCGUAAAGGGUGUGUAGGCGGUUGUUUAAGUUUGGUGUGAAAUCUCCCGGCUUAACCGGGAGGGUGCGCCGAAUACUGAAUGACUUGGAGUGCGGGAGAGGAAAGUGGAAUUCCUGGUGUAGCGGUGAAAUGCGUAGAUAUCUGGAGGAACACCGGUGGUGUAGACGGCUUUCUGGACCGUAACUGACGCUGAGACACGAAAGCGUGGGUAGCAAACAGG